GGAGCAUGUGAAGGCAUUGGAGGAUUAGAAGGGCAAUAGAAUGGAGUACUUAGAACUUUUAAAAUCCUGUGACUUUACUAAGAAUCUGUAUGGAAGAGCAUGUUGCUGCGGGAAUACUUAAUGCAAAAACUAACUGGCGUGAUUAUUGCAUCAAAGUUAUUUUUUCUUUCUUAUGUUCAGUGAGUGAUUACCUUCAUGAGUUCCCUUUUCGUCUUUUUGAAUUUUUCAUCCAAUAAUUUCCUUCUUUAUUUUGUGCUUGUAGAUUAAAGAUUUUGCUGCAUAUCUAUCCGUCUCAUCAAAUACUUCAUGAUCAACAACAAAAGACUUAUUUACAGAUGUUAUGGAUGAACUGGAGAAACAGGCGAAAUAGGUUGCUAAUAGGAGUAUUGAAUUGUGUCAACUACAUUUGUUACACUAAGCCAUAUUUAUAGACUUUACACUACAAUCCCUUUUCAUUUGCUUUCACUUAAUGAAGGUCUGAAUCUGAAUGGUUAAGAUAUCAACCCAUUAAGUGCUUUUUUUAAAAAAAGAUUCAACC
Capsicum annuum is the source of this 538-nucleotide long non-coding RNA. RefSeq lists it as uncharacterized. The record is from RefSeq and is a predicted model, not a curated record. Lineage: Eukaryota; Viridiplantae; Streptophyta; Magnoliopsida; Solanales; Solanaceae. The transcript has 2 exons.